AAGGCUUUAGCUUAAUUAAAGUGUCUGGGUUGCAUUCAGAAGAUAUAGGAUAAGGUCUUAUAAGUCUUA
This is a transfer RNA of Pelodiscus sinensis (Chinese soft-shelled turtle), 69 nucleotides long. It matches the Rfam family "tRNA". Rfam says of the family: Transfer RNA (tRNA) molecules are approximately 80 nucleotides in length. The record is from Rfam. Lineage: Eukaryota; Metazoa; Chordata; Testudines; Trionychidae.